ACAAAUAAAUGUAAAUAAAUCCGGUUUGCUGUCGUUGUGACAGCCUCUUGUUGUUUUCUAACUUUAGUUAGCCGCAACCAAAUGUUAUGAGACUUACACACAAUACUUAUGUUAUGAGACUUACACAUAAUACUUAUUACCACAAAACUCAGAUCAAGUACAAAUGUUGGUAGUGUCACUUUUACCUUCCUCAGUUAUGUCCCUUUAUAACUUUAUAUGAUAUGCAAGUGGGGGCAUCAUCUGUGUCCCAUGGACACAUUCCCUAUUUAUUUUCUAACAGCUUUUAGUCUACCUAUGACCUACAUUUCAUGCAUGUGUGACUUUGGGUCUGUAUGCAUUAGGUCCCUUUUCUAGUUUUAGGACCAGAUGAUAUUUCACCAUUGUUUUUGUUCUUGUAAGAUUUUGGUAAUCAUGACUUACAAUUUACCCAUUACAAACUCAAUAAAGUUUCACAUUUAUGGUCCAGGCCUUUGAGUAAAAAAAAUCUUUACCUCAUACUAAGUGUAGAAAGUUAUUAUACCCCACCCAACGAAGUUAAGGAAGGUAUACUGUUUUAACCCGUCCAUCGUCUGUCUGUCCAUCAGUCUGUCAGUCCUGUUUCUUGUCAUUGCAACUCCUCUCAAACCACACACAACAGAAUUUCAUGAAACCUUUUUAGAUAAUAAGGACAUACUAUGAAGAUGUGCAUAUCGAAAGGAAAUUAUGUUUCCCAUUUUUUUCAAGGAGUUACGCUCCUUUGAACUUAUUUGCUUCAAUAUACUACUGCAACAGGUUGUCAUCGUAACUCCUCUUAAACCACAAAACAGAACUUCAUGAAACUUGGUAGAUAAUAAGGACAUGCAUUUGUACUAUGUAGAUGUGCAUAUCAACAGGAAAUUAUGAUUCAAUUUUUUUUCUUACAGUUAUUUUAUUUCUUCAUUGACAAUGUGGGGACGUGGGGUAUUUGAGCACGCUUUUUGAGGUUCUUUAAUUGCUUAUUACACUAAAUCCAGUAUUUUGGUUGUUAUAUUUGUAUUUCUUAAGUAUGAUAUUCCUACUCCAAAGUUUUGAUGACUAAGGCCAUUUUUUACCCCACAUAUUUCCCAUAUUUUUUUUCAUUUAUACCUGG
This 1108-nucleotide long non-coding RNA is filed under the name Mytilus galloprovincialis (Mediterranean mussel). The record is from RNAcentral. Lineage: Eukaryota; Metazoa; Mollusca; Bivalvia; Mytilida; Mytilidae.